GUCUACGGCCAUGCCACCCUGAACACGCUCCAUCCCGUCUGAUCUUGGAAGCUAAGCAGGGUUGGGCCUGAUUAGUACUUGGACUACCCAGGAAGACCAAGUGCUAUAGCCA
RNAcentral lists this ribosomal RNA (112 nucleotides) under Pteropus alecto (black flying fox). The record is from RNAcentral. Lineage: Eukaryota; Metazoa; Chordata; Mammalia; Chiroptera; Pteropodidae.